ACGAAGUCGCAAGACUUAGUGGCGGAAGGGUUAGUAAUACAUGGGUAACCUGCCUUUAACUUAGGAAUAACGCUUGGAAACGAGCGCUAAUACCAAAUGUGAUGACACAAGGCAUCUUGUGCUCAUUAAAGUGGGGGAUCGCAAGACCUCGCGGUUAAAGAGGGGCCCAUGAGAUAUCAGCUAGUUGGUGAGGUAAUGGCUCACCAAGGCUAAGACGUCUAGGCGAUUGAGAGAUUGA
This 238-nucleotide ribosomal RNA is filed under the name uncultured Parachlamydiaceae bacterium. Its description in RNAcentral is "partial 16S ribosomal RNA". It matches the Rfam family "Bacterial small subunit ribosomal RNA", at positions 66 to 303 of the family's 1533-position model. Lineage: Bacteria; Pseudomonadati; Chlamydiota; Chlamydiia; Parachlamydiales; Parachlamydiaceae. The record is from RNAcentral.